This 356-nucleotide long non-coding RNA is filed under the name Lepidothrix coronata (blue-crowned manakin). Its description in RNAcentral is "lncRNA (ENSLCOG00000013814.1)". Lineage: Eukaryota; Metazoa; Chordata; Aves; Passeriformes; Pipridae. The record is from RNAcentral.
GUCCCGGCGCGCCGCUGGCCGUGGGCGGAGCGGGAGAGGCGGGCGAGGCGGGCGGCUGCUGUGGAAGAGGCUGGGCCCGUGCGCUGUCGGGGCUGCAGGAAGACGCACAGAGCUUGUUUGAGCAAGACCAGGAUGGAAGAGCCCAAUGGGGACCUUCCCAUGCGGAGAGACGCCGUCCUCUCCGAGUCGUGCUGUGAUCAUGCUGUGACAAACCUGGUGGAAGUGCUGAGAUCUUUGGUGGCUUUAACUGACCCUCAGGAGGGGAAGCUGACUCAGUCUCAAGAGAAAGCACUAAACUCGCUGGGCAUUUGGAAAACUGUAUUUGCAGCUGUUCCUGGGCCUACAUCAAAGACCUC